AUCUUUCUAGGUUAGGGAAUGGAGAUAAGAUCUCCCUGAGGUCUUCCAGCUUCGGAAGCAAGAGGGAGAGCAAGCCUAGCAGAGGUACCCAUUCCAUUCCCAGUUUGCUCGGUAGCUGGUGAUUGGAAGACACUCUGCAACAUUA
This is a small nucleolar RNA of Mus caroli (Ryukyu mouse), 145 nucleotides long. NCBI's taxonomy places the organism in Eukaryota, Metazoa, Chordata, Mammalia, Rodentia, Muridae. The record is from RefSeq and is a predicted model, not a curated record.